GAUGAAGAACGUAGCGAAAUGCGAUAAGUAAUGUGAAUUGCAGAAUUCAGUGAAUCAUCGAAUCUUUGAACGCACCUUGCGCCCUUUGGCCAUUCCGAAGGGCAUGCCUGUUUGAGUAUCAUGAACACCUCAACUCUUCAUGGUUUUCCAUGAUGAGCUUGGACUUUGGGGGUCUUGCUGGCCUGUGGGUCGGCUCCUCUCAAAUGAAUCAGCUUGCCGGUUUUUGGUGGGCAUCACAGGUGUGAUAACUAUCUACGCUUGAGAUUUUCCACCAGGGUAACCUUCAGCAGUGGAGGUUCACUGGAGCUUACAAAUGUCUCUCCUCUGUGAGGACAGCCCUUUGAAUGUUUGAUCUCAAAUCAGGUAGGACUACCCGCUGAACUUAAGCAUAUCAAUAAGCGGAGGA
Molecule: unclassified non-coding RNA, 406 nt
Filed under: soil metagenome
Description: partial contains 5.8S ribosomal RNA, internal transcribed spacer 2, and large subunit ribosomal RNA
Rfam family: 5.8S ribosomal RNA (bases 1-121)
Source: RNAcentral